UCUGAGAAGUGCCCAGGUGACAGGCCCAGGU
This 31-nucleotide non-coding RNA is filed under the name Homo sapiens (human). Lineage: Eukaryota; Metazoa; Chordata; Mammalia; Primates; Hominidae. The record is from RNAcentral.